This 351-nucleotide long non-coding RNA is filed under the name Ursus americanus (American black bear). RNAcentral's name for it is "lncRNA (ENSUAMG00000023619.1)". The record is from RNAcentral. Lineage: Eukaryota; Metazoa; Chordata; Mammalia; Carnivora; Ursidae.
UUCUUACUGAACUUCUCUGAAGAGUUUUGGCUGGAAAGAAGUAUCUUUUCCAACGCCAGUACAUUCUCGGCGCUCCUUCAACUGGCUGAAAAAUGAGCUCAGAUUAUGGAGAUAAUUGGAAGACCAGUUAUUUUCAGAGUGACUACAAGAAAAGAAAAAAAGGUGACUCUUAGGAGAGAAAACAAGAAGUUGACAGAAAUAACAAAUAUCAGAUUCUUCUGCUCACUCAUUGCAGACCCAAUCUCCUGGUGACCACGACAACCCCUGGGUGUAAAUUCAGCUGUCAGCAGUGUUUUCACAACCAUUUUGUAAAAUUAGAGCAUUGUCCAAAGGAUAAAUGAAAUUCAGGAG